RNAcentral lists this ribosomal RNA (550 nucleotides) under uncultured bacterium. RNAcentral describes it as "partial 16S ribosomal RNA". It matches the Rfam family "Bacterial small subunit ribosomal RNA", at positions 355 to 895 of the family's 1533-position model. The record is from RNAcentral.
UGGGGAAUUUUGGACAAUGGGGGAAACCCUGAUCCAGCCAUCCCGCGUGUGCGAUGAAGGCCUUCGGGUUGUAAAGCACUUUUGGCAGGAAAGAAACGUCGCGGGUUAAUACCCCGCGAAACUGACGGUACCUGCAGAAUAAGCACCGGCUAACUACGUGCCAGCAGCCGCGGUAAUACGUAGGGUGCAAGCGUUAAUUGGGAAUUACUGGGCGUAAAGCGUGCGCAGGCGGUUCGGAAAGAAAAGAUGUGAAAUCCCCAGAGCUUAACUUUGGAACUGCAUUUUUAACUACCGGGCUAGAGUGUGUCAGAGGGAGGUGGAAUUCCGCGUGUAGCAGUGAAAUGCGUAGAUAUGCGGAGGAACACCGAUGGCGAAGGCAGCCUCCUGGGAUAACACUGACGCUCAUGCACGAAAGCGUGGGGAGCAAACAGGAUUAGAUACCCUGGUAGUCCACGCCCUAAACGAUGUCAACUAGCUGUUGGGGCCUUCGGGCCUUGGUAGCGCAGCUAACGCGUGAAGUUGACCGCCUGGGGAGUACGGUCGCAAGAUU